AAAAGGAUGUCAGCUGCACAAUGAUCUGAUGAAUACACGGAUAUACAGAGAACCAAUCCAACAUUUACGGAUGAAUACUCAAUGAUCCAGUCUGGAAUUGAAUCAAGACCGCUUCAUGAUCACAGUACAUAUGAAGAAUGCGGACAAACCUUUGAUGCUUCAGCAUAUCAAAACAUCAACAAAAUGAAGUGCGGU
Mytilus trossulus (common blue mussel) is the source of this 195-nucleotide long non-coding RNA. RefSeq lists it as uncharacterized. NCBI's taxonomy places the organism in Eukaryota, Metazoa, Mollusca, Bivalvia, Mytilida, Mytilidae. The record is from RefSeq and is a predicted model, not a curated record. The transcript has 4 exons.